AACGAACGCUGGCGGCAUGCCUAACACAUGCAAGUCGAACGAGACCUUCGGGUCUAGUGGCGCACGGGUGCGUAACGCGUGGGAACCUGCCCUUAGGUUCGGAAUAACUCCCCGAAAGGGGUGCUAAUACCGGAUAAUGUCUUCGGACCAAAGAUUUAUCGCCUUUGGAUGGGCCCGCGUUGGAUUAGCUAGUUGGUAGGGUAAAAGCAUACCAAGGCGACGAUCCAUAGCUGGUCUGAGAGGAUGAUCAGCCACACUGGGACUGAGACACGGCCCAGAAUCCUACGGGAGGCAGCAGUGGGGAAUAUUGGAAAAUGGGCGAAAGCAUGAUCCAGCAAUGCCGGGUGAGUGAUGAAGGCCUUAGGGUUGUAAAGCUCUUUUACCCGGGAUGAUAAUGACAGUACCGGGAGAAUAAGCCCCGGCUAACUCCGUG
RNAcentral lists this ribosomal RNA (433 nucleotides) under uncultured bacterium. Its description in RNAcentral is "partial 16S ribosomal RNA". It matches the Rfam family "Bacterial small subunit ribosomal RNA", at positions 29 to 507 of the family's 1533-position model. The record is from RNAcentral.